GACGAACGCUGGCGGCGUGCUUAACACAUGCAAGUCGAGCGGUAAGGCCCUUUCGGGGGUACACGAGCGGCGAACGGGUGAGUAACACGUGGGUGACCUGCCCUCAGCUCUGGGAUAAGCCCGGGAAACUGGGUCUAAUACCGGAUAUGACUCCAUGACGCAUGUUGUGGGGUGGAAAGCCUUGUGCGGCUGAGGAUGGGCCCGCGGCCUAUCAGCUUGUUGGUGGGGUGAUGGCCACCAAGGCGACGACGGGUAGCCGGCCUGAGAGGGCGGACCGGCCACACUGGGACUGAGAUACGGCCCAGACUCCUACGGGAGGCAGCAGUGGGGAAUCUUGCGCAAUGGGCGAAAGCCUGACGCAGCGACGCCGCGUGAGGGAUGACGGCC
Molecule: ribosomal RNA, 387 nt
Filed under: uncultured bacterium
Lineage: Bacteria
Description: bacterial SSU rRNA
Rfam family: Bacterial small subunit ribosomal RNA
Source: RNAcentral